RNAcentral lists this unclassified non-coding RNA (364 nucleotides) under uncultured fungus. RNAcentral describes it as "sequence contains ITS1". The stretch from base 1 to 105 matches the Rfam family "5.8S ribosomal RNA", at positions 50 to 154 of the family's 154-position model. The record is from RNAcentral. Lineage: Eukaryota; Fungi.
GAAGUGCGAUAAGCAAUGCGAAUUGCAGAAUUCCGCGAAUCAUCAGAUCUUUGAACGCAAAUGGCGCCAGAGGGAUAUCCUUUUGGCAUGUCUGUUUCAGUGUCUGAGAGGUUUCACCUUUAUCUUAAUGUGAUUGACUCGCGGUUUGGGAUUUACCUCCCGAAUCACAGUCUCUCAUGAAAGAUGCGCGAGUGGAUCUUUCGGUCCAAUGAAGUGGUCACAUCACUCGUAUGUGAUUUCAUUGGAAGCACCGAAUUAUCCGCAAUGCUCGCGGUUCCUGUAUAAUGGCAUCUUCAUCGAUGUUGUUAUUACUAACUCUCUACACCCUGCAUCUGAGACAGGCAAGAUCACCCGCUGAACUUAA